RNAcentral lists this ribosomal RNA (402 nucleotides) under bacterium. RNAcentral describes it as "partial 16S ribosomal RNA". It matches the Rfam family "Bacterial small subunit ribosomal RNA", at positions 355 to 776 of the family's 1533-position model. The record is from RNAcentral.
UGGGGAAUUUUGCACAAUGGGGGAAACCCUGAUGCAGCGACGCCGCGUGAUUUAGAAGGCCUUCGGGUUGUAAAAAUCUUUUCUAUGGGAAGAAAAUGACAGUACCAUAGGAAUAAGUACCGGUCAAUUACGUGCCAGCAACCCCGGUAAUACUUAAGGACCGAGCGUUGUCCGUAACCAUUGGGCGUAAAGGGUACGUAGGCGGGUAAGCAAGUUAGAAGUGAAAUCCUAUAGCUCAAAUAUAGUAAGCUUUUAAAACUGCUCAUCUUGAGGUAUGGAAGGGAAAGUGGAAUUCCUAGGGUAGCGGUGAAAUGCGCAGAUAUUAGGAGGAAUACCGGUGGCGAAGGCGACUUUCUGGCCAUAACCUGACGCUGAGAUACGAAAGCGUGGGUAGCAAACAGG